UUCUGGAAUCUGGCGGCGGCGGCGGCGCCAACCGAUCAGCUGAGCUGGGUUAAAGUUGACAGCGACUGAGGCUCAGCCGGCUCUGCGGUUGCUGUUCAGAUGCCAAUCUAAGUGAAAUGGAACGGAAGGCAACUACAGCGUUCCUGGAAGAUGAGCUGGUUUUGAAAACUAAGUAGUUACUAACCUCUGCACAUCUGAAUGCAAUUCUCAUGUUUGCUCCUUCACUAUGAGUCACUAUGAGUGAAAUCAGAUUGGCAAAACGGGAAAGAAGAACGUGUAACAGAAGGCCUGGCUUGUUAUUUUACCUCUCUCUCUCUCUUUUUUCUCCAUCUCUGUCUUCUCCAGACAAAUUAUUGAACUACUGUGCUAUUCUGAUGCAGUGGGCACUCUGGGUACAUCAACCUUGAGCUGGGAUGUUGUUCACCUUAGAAAGCAAGCAAUGGUUUGCAGUGACCAAUAAUGUAGAGUAAUUGCUUAGAGUUAGAUAUUACUGCUAUUAUUAUUAAUAAUAGUACAGACUAUGAUUCAUCUAUAUGGUAUUAAUAUUAGUGUGUUAACCUGAUUUGUUUUCUGUGGUUUAUAAUGGACGUCCACUGACUUUUCUCUAUCUUGUUGUAAUUUUAUUGUGGUGAUUGUCUCCGAGUGGACUUCAUAGGGGACAAAAAGGUAGAAGAUUUUAGUAUGAUGCCACAAAUAUUUUGAAUCCUUUCACUGCUCUGUGAAAACACUCUGGGGGAUUAAAAAAACAAAAGGUGAAAAGAGUGCAACCUUGCCCUGCCUUCAAGGAUCUUGCAAUGCAGUGCAAAGACUAACUUAAAUAUAUUGCACUAAGAGGAGUGCUGAGUAGAGAUGUCCCAGAACUUAGUACUCAGUUACAGGAAGUUAGAGGGCGUGGAAGAAUCUCCUGGGGCAUAGAAUUUCAAGAAGCCACACUGUGGGCAAGCUGAGAAGAUGAUUUUGGUCAUGACCAGCAUACCAGUGCCAGUAGGACCCCACACCUGUUGGAGAUCUCAGUGAGCAUUAGGAGCUGUGACCAAGAACCUUCUAAUUACUCAAGACUGCAUGACUGUAAACUGUCAGAUGUCUGUUAGUAAUAAUAUGAUUCUUCAUUGAUCAUAGGCAAUUGAUAUCCAGUAAACAUUUGUUCCGUGAA
Long non-coding RNA from Mustela erminea (ermine), 1153 nucleotides. RefSeq lists it as uncharacterized. Lineage: Eukaryota; Metazoa; Chordata; Mammalia; Carnivora; Mustelidae. The record is from RefSeq and is a predicted model, not a curated record. The transcript has 2 exons.